This 464-nucleotide ribosomal RNA is filed under the name uncultured bacterium. RNAcentral's name for it is "partial 16S ribosomal RNA". It matches the Rfam family "Bacterial small subunit ribosomal RNA", at positions 338 to 795 of the family's 1533-position model. The record is from RNAcentral.
CCUACGGGAGGCAGCAGUAGGGAAUCUUCCACAAUGGGCGAAAGCCUGAUGGAGCAACGCCGCGUGGAUGAAGAAGGUCUUCGGAUCGUAAAACCCUGUUGUUAGAGAAGAAAGUGCGUGAGAGUAACUGCUCACGUUUCGACGGUAUCUAACCAGAAAGCCACGGCUAACUACGUGCCAGCAGCCGCGGUAAUACGUAGGUGGCAAGCGUUAUCCGGAUUUAUGGGGUUGAAAGGGUGCGUAGGCGGACUGUUAAGUCAGCGGGAAAAGCCCGGGGCUCAACCCCGGCGAGCCGUUGAAACUGGCUGUCUUGAGAUGUCGUGAGGUAUGCGGAAUGCGCAGUGUAGCGGUGAAAUGCUUAGAUAUUGCGCAGAACUCCGAUUGCGAAGGCAGCAUACCGGCGGCGAUCUGACGCUGAGGCACGAAAGCGUGGGUAUCGAACAGGAUUAGAUACCCCUGUAGUC